RNAcentral lists this transfer RNA (76 nucleotides) under Fibrobacterota bacterium. RNAcentral describes it as "Fibrobacteres bacterium (soil metagenome) tRNA-Gly". It matches the Rfam family "tRNA". Rfam says of the family: Transfer RNA (tRNA) molecules are approximately 80 nucleotides in length. Their secondary structure includes four short double-helical elements and three loops (D, anti-codon, and T loops). RNAcentral also lists the same sequence under 1 other name. The record is from RNAcentral. Lineage: Bacteria; Pseudomonadati; Fibrobacterota.
GCGAGAGUAGCUCAGUUGGUAGAGCACCACCUUGCCAAGGUGGCUGUCGCGAGUUCAAGUCUCGUCUCUCGCUCCA